This 27-nucleotide non-coding RNA is filed under the name Homo sapiens (human). The record is from RNAcentral. Lineage: Eukaryota; Metazoa; Chordata; Mammalia; Primates; Hominidae.
UAAAUUGGUCUCCAUUAUUACCUGGUC